CUGUAAGAGAGAGAGCUAGCGCGCGAUCUGCGCACUCAGAGUUACUCUUACUGAUUUCUGGAGUCUACAACUUACUCUUUGGAACUUGUUUGGGCACGCAGCUCUGCACAACGGAGACCAAAAUGUCUUUAGGGUUUGGUUGUUAUUGUUUACCGGCGAGCACGUUGCGUGGUGUGAGUGGGGCGGAACACAAACGCUACAGUUUUAAAAUACGACAUAUGGGCGUAAGUGGAGUUAAACCCCUUCGUCAUAUUAUAUACCGUCCUUACGUGAGUUAGGUCCAAACCUAUUUGCGGAAUGGUGACGAAUUGUAUCAUCGAAUAGCAUAUAAAAAAAGUUCAGGACAAGUUCUGCAAAUUUCUAGUUCAUUAAAAUGGGUAUGAACAGUCACAUUGGUAAGAUGAACAAUAUUGCAUUAAUUUAUGUUCUUUUUAAUUUGUUGAAUUGUAAAAUCUUCUUUUCUUUUGAGUAGAGUUUCAUAAAAAAAUCCUAACUAGAGCUACACUCUAACCACAGAACAGAAAGAGGAAAAAAAUCCUUGGUCUGUUUUCUGUGACUAACUCUUUUAUGUUUCUUGUGUUGUGUGGGUUUUUUGUUGUUGUUAGUAUUUUAAUUUUUUAUUAGAUGGCGUUUGUAAGUUGUAAAUAAAUUAAGAAAUAAGUCUACUCAGGGGAAAAAAAGAACAAUUAUUAU
Long non-coding RNA from Anthonomus grandis grandis, 693 nucleotides. RefSeq lists it as uncharacterized. The transcript is spliced from 3 exons. The record is from RefSeq and is a predicted model, not a curated record. NCBI's taxonomy places the organism in Eukaryota, Metazoa, Arthropoda, Insecta, Coleoptera, Curculionidae.